CUGAAAAUAGAGCGUACGGAGCUGCGCCUCUUAGGGCUGAGACUGCGCCGUGUGCUGAGCUGCACCCGGGGAGGAGGGAGCCAGCCGGCGGCCCAGCUCUAUGCUCUUCAUUUUGCUCUGCAGAAACAGCUCUAGGUUUGGCCAGGAGCAGGAAAGGAAUGCGUUUAUCCUGCGCUGGGCUGCGCGUAAAGUGGGCGCUGUGGGAUGCCGUGUUUCUGCGCCUCGGCUCCUUCUUCUCUGGAAAGAGUAGCAAAGAUCUGACUGUAAAAGCAGGUUUGCAGGCAGACAGGAAGGACUGCCCCUGAGAAGUAAAGGGGCUUUUAUUUCCAGGGGACCCGCCAGAACUCCGAGAUUCAGCCCUAGGCGCACCUCCUUCCUUCCCCGCCCCCCCCGGCACCGACGAGGAGAGGCAUCAUCCAGCCCCGCUCCCCGAGGCUCCUCGCCUGGCCUCGUCCCGGCUUGGCAGUGCUGCA
This 473-nucleotide long non-coding RNA is filed under the name Gallus gallus (chicken). RNAcentral's name for it is "lncRNA (ENSGALG00010018580.1)". Lineage: Eukaryota; Metazoa; Chordata; Aves; Galliformes; Phasianidae. The record is from RNAcentral.